This 22-nucleotide microRNA is filed under the name Drosophila melanogaster (fruit fly). RNAcentral describes it as "dme-miR-4983-3p". Lineage: Eukaryota; Metazoa; Arthropoda; Insecta; Diptera; Drosophilidae. The record is from miRBase by way of RNAcentral. RNAcentral also lists the same sequence under 1 other name.
GAAAUUCUUUUGAGCAAGUGUG